This 2774-nucleotide ribosomal RNA is filed under the name Escherichia coli. RNAcentral's name for it is "partial 23S ribosomal RNA". It matches the Rfam family "Bacterial large subunit ribosomal RNA". The record is from RNAcentral. Lineage: Bacteria; Pseudomonadati; Pseudomonadota; Gammaproteobacteria; Enterobacterales; Enterobacteriaceae.
CACACUAUCAUUAACUGAAUCCAUAGGUUAAUGAGGCGAACCGGGGGAACUGAAACAUCUAAGUACCCCGAGGAAAAGAAAUCAACCGAGAUUCCCCCAGUAGCGGCGAGCGAACGGGGAGGAGCCCAGAGCCUGAAUCAGUGUGUGUGUUAGUGGAAGCGUCUGGAAAGGCGCGCGAUACAGGGUGACAGCCCCGUACACAAAAAUGCACAUAUUGUGAGCUCGAUGAGUAGGGCGGGACACGUGGUAUCCUGUCUGAAUAUGGGGGGACCAUCCUCCAAGGCUAAAUACUCCUGACUGACCGAUAGUGAACCAGUACCGUGAGGGAAAGGCGAAAAGAACCCCGGCGAGGGGAGUGAAAAAGAACCUGAAACCGUGUACGUACAAGCAGUGGGAGCCUCUUAAUGGGGUGACUGCGUACCUUUUGUAUAAUGGGUCAGCGACUUAUAUUCUGUAGCAAGGUUAACCGAAUAGGGGAGCCGAAGGGAAACCGAGUCUUAACUGGGCGUUAAGUUGCAGGGUAUAGACCCGAAACCCGGUGAUCUAGCCAUGGGCAGGUUGAAGGUUGGGUAACACUAACUGGAGGACCGAACCGACUAAUGUUGAAAAAUUAGCGGAUGACUUGUGGCUGGGGGUGAAAGGCCAAUCAAACCGGGAGAUAGCUGGUUCUCCCCGAAAGCUAUUUAGGUAGCGCCUCGUGAAUUCAUCUCCGGGGGUAGAGCACUGUUUCGGCAAGGGGGUCAUCCCGACUUACCAACCCGAUGCAAACUGCGAAUACCGGAGAAUGUUAUCACGGGAGACACACGGCGGGUGCUAACGUCCGUCGUGAAGAGGGAAACAACCCAGACCGCCAGCUAAGGUCCCAAAGUCAUGGUUAAGUGGGAAACGAUGUGGGAAGGCCCAGACAGCCAGGAUGUUGGCUUAGAAGCAGCCAUCAUUUAAAGAAAGCGUAAUAGCUCACUGGUCGAGUCGGCCUGCGCGGAAGAUGUAACGGGGCUAAACCAUGCACCGAAGCUGCGGCAGCGACACUAUGUGUUGUUGGGUAGGGGAGCGUUCUGUAAGCCUGUGAAGGUGUACUGUGAGGUAUGCUGGAGGUAUCAGAAGUGCGAAUGCUGACAUAAGUAACGAUAAAGCGGGUGAAAAGCCCGCUCGCCGGAAGACCAAGGGUUCCUGUCCAACGUUAAUCGGGGCAGGGUGAGUCGACCCCUAAGGCGAGGCCGAAAGGCGUAGUCGAUGGGAAACAGGUUAAUAUUCCUGUACUUGGUGUUACUGCGAAGGGGGGACGGAGAAGGCUAUGUUGGCCGGGCGACGGUUGUCCCGGUUUAAGCGUGUAGGCUGGUUUUCCAGGCAAAUCCGGAAAAUCAAGGCUGAGGCGUGAUGACGAGGCACUACGGUGCUGAAGCGACAAAUGCCCUGCUUCCAGGAAAAGCCUCUAAGCAUCAGGUAACAUCAAAUCGUACCCCAAACCGACACAGGUGGUCAGGUAGAGAAUACCAAGGCGCUUGAGAGAACUCGGGUGAAGGAACUAGGCAAAAUGGUGCCGUAACUUCGGGAGAAGGCACGCUGAUAUGUAGGUGAAGCGACUUGCUCGUGGAGCUGAAAUCAGUCGAAGAUACCAGCUGGCUGCAACUGUUUAUUAAAAACACAGCACUGUGCAAACACGAAAGUGGACGUAUACGGUGUGACGCCUGCCCGGUGCCGGAAGGUUAAUUGAUGGGGUUAGCGGUAACGCGAAGCUCUUGAUCGAAGCCCCGGUAAACGGCGGCCGUAACUAUAACGGUCCUAAGGUAGCGAAAUUCCUUGUCGGGUAAGUUCCGACCUGCACGAAUGGCGUAAUGAUGGCCAGGCUGUCUCCACCCGAGACUCAGUGAAAUUGAACUCGCUGUGAAGAUGCAGUGUACCCGCGGCAAGACGGAAAGACCCCGUGAACCUUUACUAUAGCUUGACACUGAACAUUGAGCCUUGAUGUGUAGGAUAGGUGGGAGGCUUUGAAGUGUGGACGCCAGUCUGCAUGGAGCCGACCUUGAAAUACCACCCUUUAAUGUUUGAUGUUCUAACGUGGGCCCCUUACCGGGGUUGCGGACAGUGUCUGGUGGGUAGUUUGACUGGGGCGGUCUCCUCCUAAAGAGUAACGGAGGAGCACGAAGGUUGGCUAAUCCUGGUCGGACAUCAGGAGGUUAGUGCAAUGGCAUAAGCCAGCUUGACUGCGAGCGUGACGGCGCGAGCAGGUGCGAAAGCAGGUCAUAGUGAUCCGGUGGUUCUGAAUGGAAGGGCCAUCGCUCAACGGAUAAAAGGUACUCCGGGGAUAACAGGCUGAUACCGCCCAAGAGUUCAUAUCGACGGCGGUGUUUGGCACCUCGAUGUCGGCUCAUCACAUCCUGGGGCUGAAGUAGGUCCCAAGGGUAUGGCUGUUCGCCAUUUAAAGUGGUACGCGAGCUGGGUUUAGAACGUCGUGAGACAGUUCGGUCCCUAUCUGCCGUGGGCGCUGGAGAACUGAGGGGGGCUGCUCCUAGUACGAGAGGACCGGAGUGGACGCAUCACUGGUGUUCGGGUUGUCAUGCCAAUGGCACUGCCCGGUAGCUAAAUGCGGAAGAGAUAAGUGCUGAAAGCAUCUAAGCACGAAACUUGCCCCGAGAUGAGUUCUCCCUGACUCCUUGAGAGUCCUGAAGGAACGUUGAAGACGACGACGUUGAUAGGCCGGGUGUGUAAGCGCAGCGAUGCGUUGAGCUAACCGGUACUAAUGAACCGUGAGGCUUAACCUUACAACGCCGAAG